CUUAGGCAGAGACUGUAGGGUGUGUGAGGAAAGCUCUUUAGGAUCCUCCAGGGCCUUCCCAUCAAGGAGAGAAACUGAAGGUGUGGGGCAGGUCGGAUGGAAGAAGUCCUUUGUUGGCAGACCCCAGCAGGAACAGAAGGCACAGUGAGCCAUGCAGCAGAAGGGCUCCCGUGCGUCUAGCCAUCCUUGGUGCCGCUGGUGAUGUGUGGAACAAAGAAGCUGCCUCCCUCUCCCCAGGUCCACACCCAAAGUGGGAUUGCUGACCCAGCAUCCGCAUGCCCUGGUAAAGCAGCA
This is a long non-coding RNA of Dermochelys coriacea (leatherback sea turtle), 294 nucleotides long. RefSeq lists it as uncharacterized. The transcript has 3 exons. The record is from RefSeq and is a predicted model, not a curated record. Lineage: Eukaryota; Metazoa; Chordata; Testudines; Dermochelyidae.